GGAGCCGCGAGGUCUAUCUACAGAACAGAACGGCGAGAAAUCUGCUGGUGGAAACAGAUUAUUGAACUCAUUAGAGAGUAACAUUCUGCUGCUGAGCUGCACAAGUUACUAAACACCAAAUAGGCAAUGUUUUACAUUGUUGAAUUUUACGAGACCCAAGAGGUUGAGGUGGUGCCAGCAGCUUGGGUGGCUGAUGACGUUUGUCAGUGGCCCUCUUACUACAAACCUGAAGAACUGGUAAAGGCUGUAAAAAAUGCAGAGCAGCCGGGGUCAUCAUGGGAAGAAUUCAGAGUUCGGAUUUUAUAUAAAGCAGACCAAGCAUUCGCUUUCAAAGUGACAGUGACAGCGACUCGACUGUCGGGACCAUGCAAAAAUCAUCACUGCCAGCAGCCCCAAAAAUUCAACAGCCAGACCUCAAUAUAACACAAAGAAGGGCCCCUACACCCC
Long non-coding RNA from Melanotaenia boesemani (Boeseman's rainbowfish), 447 nucleotides. RefSeq lists it as uncharacterized. NCBI's taxonomy places the organism in Eukaryota, Metazoa, Chordata, Actinopteri, Atheriniformes, Melanotaeniidae. The transcript has 5 exons. The record is from RefSeq and is a predicted model, not a curated record.